Molecule: RNA transcript, 949 nt
Organism: Salvia splendens (bonfire salvia)
Lineage: Eukaryota; Viridiplantae; Streptophyta; Magnoliopsida; Lamiales; Lamiaceae
Exons: 3
Source: RefSeq, a predicted model, not a curated record
CGCAAACUCAGACUGCUCCUCGCCCUCUGCAACACUCUUCCCACUCUUUCAAAUCUCGGUUUUCAUCCUUCUCUCUUCAUGUUUCGUUUCUCUCUUUGCAGCAUUCUAAAUCUGAUAAUCAAUUGCUCUUUAUUAGUUCCGUUGUUUGUGUUGCAAUAUCUGAAACGAUGUAAUUAGGUUUUUGAUUCGAUUCGCGCGUGUCCCAUUCACUUCUCCAAUCCGGUUUAUUUUCAACAUUUAAUCUAUACUACUCCAUUUGUUAAUGGAGGCUAAGCUACAGAACAGGGAAAGGAUACUGAGUGUUAAUCCUAUUGAGCAGAGUAUGAAUCUGAAUUCGAUAGUCUGAUAGCACAUUUCCAAACUCUAUUCAAGUCAGAUGACAUGUUGCUGAGUUUUGAGCAUUUUAUUGAUACAUAACUGUUAGACUCCCGCGGCUGCCCUGAACGUCUUGUUGCAUUGGAUAUUGGUGCAUUUAUGGAGCACCGAGAAGCUGUGGCUACUCCAGAUGCUGAGUGCGCGCCAAAUUUUUUACAUUAACAACAAUAUUCGAGGGGGAAAUGCUCAAAUUGAUGAGAGUGUGGAUUGCCCUGCCGUUGGAAAUGGACGUUGCUGAGGAGCUGACUGAGCAACAACAAUGCGCUCGACUGUUGAACAUUACAUUGAUCUUGUGUCUUCUUACAACCUGUUUAUGGCAGCAUUACCCAUUGCUGGAACAUGCUUGCUGGUUUGAGGUGAGAGAGCAAAUAAGUGCUUAAAUUUGUUUUCUCAAUUUCCAAUUUACUAUAUCAAACUUAUGUAGUUAUUGCAUCUAUUUGAUCUCAGUAGGAACUAGUUACUACAUUUCAUGGAAAUGAUGGCAGUAGAUCAAAUGGUAAACUUCAUUAUUCAGAUGAUUUUCAGAGGGAAACAUAAAGUUUUCUUGUAGAUUUAUUGCCUUCUUUUAUUCGUA